ACGGGUAGCCGGCCUGAGAGGGCGACCGGCCACAUUGGGACUGAGAUACGGCCCAGACUCCUACGGGAGGCAGCAGUGGGGAAUAUUGCACAAUGGGCGCAAGCCUGAUGCAGCGACGCCGCGUGAGGGAUGGAGGCCUUCGGGUUGUAAACCUCUUUUAUCGGGGAGCAAGCGAGAGUGAGUUUACCCGUUGAAUAAGCACCGGCUAACUACGUGCCAGCAGCCGCGGUAAUACGUAGGGUGCAAGCGUUAUCCGGAAUUAUUGGGCGUAAAGGGCUCGUAGGCGGUUCGUCGCGUCCGGUGUGAAAGUCCAUCGCUUAACGGUGGAUCCGCGCCGGGUACGGGCGGGCUUGAGUGCGGUAGGGGAGACUGGAAUUCCCGGUGUAACGGUGGAAUGUGUAGAUAUCGGGAAGAACACCAAUGGCGAAGGCAGGUCUCUGGGCCGUUACUGACGCUGAGGAGCGAAAGCGUGGGGAGCGAACAGGAUUAGAUACCCUGGUAGUCCACGCCGUAAACGGUGGAUGCUGGAUGUGGGGCCCGUUCCACGGGUUCCGUGUCGGAGCUAACGCGUUAAGCAUCCCGCCUGGGGAGUACGGCCGCAAGGCUAAAACUCAAAGAAAUUGACGGGGGCCCGCACAAGCGGCGGAGCAUGCGGAUUAAUUCGAUGCAACGCGAAGAACCUUACCUGGGCUUGACAUGUUCCCGACGGUCGUAGAGAUACGGCUUCCCUUCGGGGCGGGUUCACAGGUGGUGCAUGGUCGUCGUCAGCUCGUGUCGUGAGAUGUUGGGUUAAGUCCCGCAACGAGCGCAACCCUCGCCCCGUGUUGCCAGCGGAUUAUGCCGGGAACUCACGGGGGACCGCCGGGGUUAACUCGGAGGAAGGUGGGGAUGACGUCAGAUCAUCAUGCCCCUUACGUCCAGGGCUUCACGCAUGCUACAAUGGCCGGUACAACGGGAUGCGACGCGGCGACGCGGAGCGGAUCCCUGAAAACCGGUCUCAGUUCGGAUCGCAGUCUGCAACUCGACUGCGUGAAGGCGGAGUCGCUAGUAAUCGCGAAUCAGCAACGUCGCGGUGAAUGCGUUCCCGGGCCUUGUACACACCGCCCGUCAAGUCAUGAAAGUGGGCAGCACCCGAAGCCGGUGGCCUAACCCCUUGUGGGAUGGAGCCGUCUAAGGUGAGGCUCGUGAUUGGGACUAAGUCGUAACAAGGUAGCCGUACCGGAAGGUGCGGCUGGAUCACCUCCUUU
Molecule: ribosomal RNA, 1247 nt
Filed under: Flavonifractor plautii
Lineage: Bacteria; Bacillati; Bacillota; Clostridia; Eubacteriales; Oscillospiraceae
Description: bacterial SSU rRNA
Rfam family: Bacterial small subunit ribosomal RNA
Source: RNAcentral